GACGAACGCUGGCGGCGUGCCUAAUACAUGCAAGUAGAACGCACAGUCCAUACCGUAGCUUGCUACACCAUAAACUGUGAGUUGCGAACGGGUGAGUAACGCGUAGGUAACCUGCCUGGUAGCGUGGGAUAACUAUGGGAAACGAUAGCUAAUACCGCAUAAUAUUGAUUAUUGCAUGAUAAUUGAUGGAAAGAUGCUAUUGCAUCACUACCAGAUGGCCCUGCGUUGUAUUAGCUAGUAGGUGAGGUAACGGCUCACCUAGGCGGCGAUACAGAGCCGACCUGAGAGGGUGAUCGGCCACACUGGGACUGAGACACGGCCCAGACUCCUACGGGAGGCAGCAGUAGGGAAUCUUCGGCAAUGGGCGAAAGUCUGACCGAGCAACGCCGAGUGAGUGAAGAAGGUUUUCGGAUCGUAAAGCUCUGUUGUAAGAGAAGAACGGGUGUGAGAGUGGAAAGUUCACACUGUGACGGUAUCUUACCAGAAAGGGACGGCUAACUACGUG
RNAcentral lists this ribosomal RNA (505 nucleotides) under uncultured bacterium. RNAcentral's name for it is "partial 16S ribosomal RNA". It matches the Rfam family "Bacterial small subunit ribosomal RNA", at positions 28 to 507 of the family's 1533-position model. The record is from RNAcentral.